GUCAAUUUGAAACUUUAGGACUAAACGUGGCAAAACCAUUAUACUCGGAAGACCCCAUAUGGCAUUAACUCUAAAAAAGUAUUUCCUAUUA
This is a long non-coding RNA of Ipomoea nil (Japanese morning glory), 91 nucleotides long. RefSeq lists it as uncharacterized. NCBI's taxonomy places the organism in Eukaryota, Viridiplantae, Streptophyta, Magnoliopsida, Solanales, Convolvulaceae. The transcript has 3 exons. The record is from RefSeq and is a predicted model, not a curated record.